RNAcentral lists this ribosomal RNA (440 nucleotides) under uncultured bacterium. RNAcentral describes it as "bacterial SSU rRNA". It matches the Rfam family "Bacterial small subunit ribosomal RNA", at positions 335 to 762 of the family's 1533-position model. The record is from RNAcentral.
ACUCCUACGGGAGGCAGCAGUGGGGAAUAUUGCACAAUGGGCGCAAGCCUGAUGCAGCCAUGCCGCGUGUGUGAAGAAGGCCUUCGGGUUGUAAAGCACUUUCAGUCGUGAGGAAGGUAGUGUAGUUAAUAGCUGCAUUAUUUGACGUUACCUACAGAAGAAGCACCGGCUAACUCCGUGCCAGCAGCCGCGGUAAUACGGAGGGUGCGAGCGUUAAUCGGAAUUACUGGGCGUAAAGCGCAUGCAGGCGGGCCUGUUAAGUCAGAUGUGAAAGCCCGGGGCUUAACCUCGGAAUUGCAUUUGAAACUGGCAGGCUAGAGUCUUGUAGAGGGGGGUAGAAUUUCAGGUGUAGCGGUGAAAUAGCGUAGAGAUCUGAAGGAAUACCAGUAGGCGAAAGGCGGCCCCCUGGACAAAGACUGACGCUCAGAUGCGAAAAGCGU